UUGACCUCGGAUCAGGUAGGGAUACCCGCUGAACUUAAGCAUACU
RNAcentral lists this ribosomal RNA (45 nucleotides) under Curvularia lunata. RNAcentral's name for it is "partial 28S ribosomal RNA". Lineage: Eukaryota; Fungi; Ascomycota; Dothideomycetes; Pleosporales; Pleosporaceae. The record is from RNAcentral.